Molecule: microRNA precursor, 86 nt
Filed under: Pelobates cultripes (western spadefoot toad)
Lineage: Eukaryota; Metazoa; Chordata; Amphibia; Anura; Pelobatidae
Rfam family: mir-190 microRNA precursor family (bases 6-81)
Source: RNAcentral
GCCUGGGUUCUGUCUGAUAUGUUUGAUAUUAGGUUGUUUGAUUGAAAAUCGACUAAAUAUCAUACAUAUUGCUACAGCGCCUUGGU